CCUACGGGAGGCAGCAGCAAGGAAUUUUGCGCAAUGGGCGAAAGCCUGACGCAGCAACGCCGCGUGGGUGAAGAAGGCCUUCGGGUCGUAAAGCCCUUUUGUUAGGGAAGAAGUUCUGACGGUACCUAACGAAUAAGCCUCGGCUAACUACGUGCCAGCAGCCGCGGUAAUACGUAGGAGGCGAGCGUUAUCCGGAUUUAUUGGGCGUAAAGAGCGCGUAGGCGGCCUAUUAAGUCGGUUGUGAAAUCUCUUGGCUUAACUGAGAGGGGUCAACCGAAAC
RNAcentral lists this ribosomal RNA (280 nucleotides) under uncultured bacterium. Its description in RNAcentral is "partial 16S ribosomal RNA". It matches the Rfam family "Bacterial small subunit ribosomal RNA", at positions 338 to 633 of the family's 1533-position model. The record is from RNAcentral.